Molecule: ribosomal RNA, 467 nt
Filed under: uncultured bacterium
Lineage: Bacteria
Description: partial 16S ribosomal RNA
Rfam family: Bacterial small subunit ribosomal RNA
Source: RNAcentral
GACGAACGCUGGCGGCGUGCUUAACACAUGCAAGUCGAACGGAAAGGCCCUGCUUUUGUGGGGUGCUCGAGUGGCGAACGGGUGAGUAACACGUGAGUAACCUGCCCUUGACUUUGGGAUAACUUCAGGAAACUGGGGCUAAUACCGGAUAGGAGCUCCUGCUGCAUGGUGGGGGUUGGAAAGUUUCGGCGGUUGGGGAUGGACUCGCGGCUUAUCAGCUUGUUGGUGGGGUAGUGGCUUACCAAGGCUUUGACGGGUAGCCGGCCUGAGAGGGUGACCGGCCACAUUGGGACUGGGAUACGGCCCAGACUCCUACGGGAGGCAGCAGUGGGGAAUAUUGCACAAUGGGCGGAGGCCUGAUGCAGCAACGCCGCGUGCGGGAUGACGGCCUUCGGGUAGUAAACCGCUUUCGCCUGUGACGAAGCGUGAGUGACGGUAAUGGGUAAAGAAGCACCGGCUAACUACGU